UUUUUAUAUGGUGUCUUUCUUUGGAAACGCACAAACCAUCUCACCACAGACAUUACCUCAUUUGCUUCACAGCCUAAUGACUGCUUUAUGGCUGAGAAAUGGUGGAGGAAGCGACUGAGACUGAAGAGAUGAAGAAACUGAGGCACACAGGGAGACACAGACGUGGCCUUCCCAGCAGUACUCAGGUUUUCUCCUUCCUAACCUCCUGCCCUUUCCUUGUGUUUUAGGCAUUGGCUAAUGAAUUUAAAUGAAACAAUUGCUCGUGUCUGCCAAAAGCUGCAUAGAGGAACCUGGGCUGUGUAUUAUGGCUGAUAUGAUACUAGUCUUCCGAACGGAAGGUGGGGGUGGGAGGAGAUCCUGGCAUUUGCCAUCUGGUAAGCCUGUCUUUAAUCCUCAGUAAAGUAAUGGAAUGGAGAUGAGGAAAAAAAUGUGUAAGAAUCAAAAGCAUAAUGCCACCAUGAGCAAGCAGCUGUCUGGAUUUUUAAAGAGCAAAUUCCAUGAGACAAAUUUAAUUGCAUUUUUUAAUAGAAUUAAAAAAAGUCCACAACAUUAGUGGGUGAAGGAAAUGAAAUGGAUGUAUCCAAAAAUCUCACUUGAAAGAUGAAUUCAGCGGGGCUGGUUCUGAGCUGUCUUCUGUAUUGAAACCCGGCUGGAAGGCCACGUGAGCAGCGGUGGGAGGCCAUGGAGUGGCUGGGAGAUGGUGGCCAGCGGCGUGCUUCUGGCAGGCUCUGAGAUGGGCCGGCGCCUACAGAGCAUCAUUAUUAAUGACUUGCAGGAGGUGAUGAGCAGAACAUUAAUUAAAUGUGCACAUGUGGCCAAGUGGGAAAUUGGCGGCGAAAACACCAGAGAGGCAGAUGAGGAAACUGAGUCCCAGAGGAGUGGAGUACCUUGGUGAAGUUCACCCAGCACCUCCUGGAGCUGAGUAUGUUUCUAGAACUGUCUAUUUAAAAAACCACUCUCUUUUCAUUGGAGGUUUGGAGGAGAACUUCAUUUAUGGCACACAGUUAUAUUAAAAUAAACAGUUUAGUUCCACACUAAGGGUUUGAUAAUUUCAAUAAAUCCUUUGUUGUCUUUAUAAAGUCUAGAGUUAAACAAACAACACAGAGCACAAUAUCCAGGUUUUGUCAAGUUUCUGGUGAACAUAAUGGGCAAAUCUACAAGCUUUCUUUAACAAGGUUUAUUUCCAUCUGAGAGAGCUGGAGAGCUGUGUGUGAUACUAACGAUACAGAAGCUUAAGGAAACGAGUGUCUAUCACAAGCUUAAAAAUGUAUAGUAUAGGUUGGGUGUGGUGGCUCACGCCUAUAAUUCCAGCACUUUGGGAGGCCCAGGCAGGUGGAUCACGAAGUCGGGGGUUCAAGACCAGCCUGGACAGCAUGGUGAAACCCCAUCUUUACUAAAAAUACAAAAAUUAGCCAGGCGUGGUGACAGAUGCCUGUAAUCCCAGCUACUCGGGAGGCUGAAGCAGGAUAAUUGCUUGAACCUGGUGGACAGAGGUUGCAGUGAGCAGAGAUUGUGCCACUGCACUCCAGCCUGGGUGACAGAGUGAGACUCUGUCUCAAAAAAAAAAUAUGUGUAGUAUCAAAAUGGCAGUACCCAGGGUAUAAUAAGUGUCCAGUAAAUACAUGUAUAUAUUACACACACACACACACACACAUAUAUAUAUAUAUAUAGAGAGAGAGGGAGUGUGUGUCUCACUCUGUCACCCACAGUGGAGAACAGUAGUGCGAUCUAGGGUCACUGCAGCCUCAACCUCCCAGGUUCAAGCGAUUCUCCCACCUCAACCUCCCAAGUAGCAGAGACUACAGGCACAUGCCACCAUGCUUGGCUAAUUUUUGUAUUUCUAGUAGAGAUGAGGUUUUGCCAUGUUGACCAGGCUGGUCUCGAACUCCUGACCUCAAGCGAUC
Long non-coding RNA from Callithrix jacchus (white-tufted-ear marmoset), 1904 nucleotides. The record is from Ensembl. NCBI's taxonomy places the organism in Eukaryota, Metazoa, Chordata, Mammalia, Primates, Cebidae.